This 73-nucleotide transfer RNA is filed under the name Arcicella aurantiaca. RNAcentral's name for it is "Arcicella sp. TNR-18 tRNA". It matches the Rfam family "tRNA". Rfam says of the family: Transfer RNA (tRNA) molecules are approximately 80 nucleotides in length. RNAcentral also lists the same sequence under 1 other name. Lineage: Bacteria; Pseudomonadati; Bacteroidota; Cytophagia; Cytophagales; Flectobacillaceae. The record is from Rfam by way of RNAcentral.
GCGAAAAUAGCUCAGCUGGUAGAGCGCAACCUUGCCAAGGUUGAGGUCGCCGGUUCGAACCCGGUUUUUCGCU